RNAcentral lists this long non-coding RNA (14468 nucleotides) under Lathyrus oleraceus (garden pea). Its description in RNAcentral is "Pisum sativum (pea) long non-coding RNA (PSAT_LNC019644)". Lineage: Eukaryota; Viridiplantae; Streptophyta; Magnoliopsida; Fabales; Fabaceae. The record is from RNAcentral.
UUUUUAGAAACAAAUACUAAAAACUAUUAAGUUCAUAUAAAAAGUGGACGAGGUUUAUAAAUUACAAAGUAAUAAAACGAUCUUUUAUAUGCAAAGGUGUGAAAAUAUGACUGUAAUUGUGAGGUUUUUCUAUUUUGUAAUCAUCAUUCUUUUUCUAUUUCUUCUUAUUACGAAUGUUGAAGGUUAGUCAAUCUUAUAUAUUUUUUGAUUCUUUUAUACAGUUUAAUUAUAUUAUUUAAUUAUCUUUUUUCUUUCUUAUAGCGCUGAGAAAAAAAUGUCGAACCGAUUCAGAUUGUCCCAAACAAAUGUGCCGAUUUCCGACAUACAAUAAAUGUGUUAUUCGCAACCAUUGUCAAUGUGUUCUUUCUAAGAUUAUAUGAUUUCAAUAACAUAAGUAGUUAUGAAUUUGUAAUCUAAGUGAUGGUUAUAAAAGGAAAUAAGUCAACAACGAGUAUUAUUUAGAUGUUUUCUUCUCUCUUUAUUUCAGAGAUAUUUCCGUUGCCUUUUGAAUUCAUGCUUAUCAAUUUUCCUUGUCUACCUUAUCUCCUAUUAUGCUAACGAGUGCAUCUUGAAUACUCUAAAAUCCAAAUAAAUAAAAUAUUACAUUGAACACAAAUCUUUUUAAAAAAACAUACCUUUAAUUAUUUAGAAAUUUUAAGCAAUUUUUUUAGUUUCUUGUAUUUUUCUGGAAUUAUGAAUAAAUGAACAAAUACAUAACAUAAAAAUAAAGUGUAGAAAAUAAAUUAACACAAAGAAUUUUUCUGGUAUAUCUAACUCUCUCAUAUUACGUGAGAAUUUUUCACUAUUGUUAAAUCUUUGUACAAAUCUGACACAAAAACUUAUCUUAUAAUUUUCUAACAACAACAAAGAAACAUGUCACUUCCUUAAAUGCCAAACACCAACAAUUAUAGUGGAGUUUGAAUCAUCUAGAUUCAAAUGACUUUUCCAACAAAUAUAAAAAUAACAUUUCCUCAUUUGCAACAAUCUAUAAUAAGUACAACAUUUUCUACAAGAUAAAGAAUCACCACAUACUUGGUGAAGUUUGUAUGAAAAAUGUUGUAGACAAACUUUCCAUCAACUUUCAUCAACUUUGAGGUUUUGAUGAUUUUCUAAUACAUGAAAAUUCGAUAUUCUCUUCCAAUGAACAAAUCAAGAUUAUAUAGAUAUUUAAGCACCACUACUAAAAAAUUCAUGAUUAGUGACAAAAAAACUUAAAAACCGGUCCCUAUAAUGUUUAGUGACCAAUAAAGUGACAACUAAUUUUCGAUAGAAAAAAUGCUAGUUAUUAACCUUUAGCGACAUAUUUAACGACCAGUUUUAGUGACCAAUUUCAAAUAAUUAAAGAACUUAAAAUUAAAAUCAAAAGAUUUGCCACAUUCAAUACUUAAACAAAUUCCCUUAUGUUUUAGAAAUUUGUGCGUGAACACUAAACUAUUUCAUUUUAGUAGUUAUAUGUUUUAAAAUUAUAUAUAUUAUAAAUGAAAUUAAAAUAUUAAAUAUUAUUCAAAAAAUUAUUAAAUUAAUUAUCAUUAAAAUUACAUUUUUUUAAAUUAAUAAAUUUGUAUGGGUGAAUUAUUUAUAUAAAUAUAUAUUUUAUUUGUUAAAAUAAUAAAAACGUGAAACUUUCAUUAAAAAAUAAAAAUANAUUAUAAAUGAAAUUAAAAUAUUAAAUAUUAUUCAAAAAAUUAUUAAAUUAAUUAUCAUUAAAAUUACAUUUUUUUAAAUUAAUAAAUUUGUAUGGGUGAAUUAUUUAUAUAAAUAUAUAUUUUAUUUGUUAAAAUAAUAAAAACGUGAAACUUUCAUUAAAAAAAAAAUAUAUUUUUUUUUGAAAUAUUUUGAAGAAAGAAAACAUGGGGGAUGUAACUUAAUAAAGAAAAUAAAACUAUUAGUGAUCGAAAUUUCAAUCACUAAAAUUUUUUAUAAAUAAAUUUUUAAUAUAAGCGUUUGUUUGAGAAUGAAAAUUAGGUCACAAAUAUUGAUCACUAAUUUGGUGGUUAAUUUAAUUUAAUGACCUUUAAAAUUUAAUGACGAUGCCGUUCAAUUUCGGUGGACAAUUAGGUGGCAAUAGUGACCGAAUACUUUUAAUUAUUUAUUCGGUCAUUAAAAACAAAUUUUUUUAGUCGUGUGAUCAAGUAUUUCUCUAAACUUUUUCAAAUCAAAUGAAACUAAAUAAAGAUAAAUUAUAAAUAAUAACUUUUGGUGGAAGAUAUUAAUCAUACUUGAAAUUCCUCGAUGGUUCAAAGAAAUGAAUGUGUUGUUUCAUAUAUCCUUAUUCUUAUUAUUUCUCUCUGUCGCUGAUAAUGGUUUCAAUAUCAACUCCAAAACCAUUCUGACACACUUUAGGGGUGACGAAAACAUCAAUCAUCGCCAAAUUUCACACUUCAAUGAUUAGAGCUUCUAUUUUCAAGCUUGUCGUGCAACUCAGGUGUUAGUGAAAUCUUAAUUUCCUUUAGUGUGUCAGUUUAACACCAAUUAUACAAAGGAGAAUUGGUUAUGUGAAAGGUACAACAAGUCCCUACAACUUUGUAUGCUUGAGAAAUAUGUCAACCAGAAGACUUGCAUUUUUCAGAUAAAUCAUCAAUAUUAAAGUCAAUACUCAGAUUUACGGUAGCUAAUAAGAACUCAAUUUCUCAUCCAGGCUGUGAAAUCUUUCACUAAAAGGUAUUACACAUAUUGAACUAAUAUGUUUUAAUCAUAGAAGCUAAAAGGUAUUAAGAACCUGAACAAGAAGUGGUCUCAGUGAUACUGGAUUGGAAUGAUGCAAUAAAAUGCUUGUCGGGAUUGUUGAUAUUUGACCAAGUAGCUUUUGUUACAGCCAUGUACUUGCUAUCUAAGAUUUUUGGCACAUGCAUUAAUUAGAAAACGUGAUAAGUUUUAUGUGUAAAUGGGUUUAUGGCUAAAAGUAGAAGUGGUCAGUUACAAGUGUCGACGAAUUUGGUUUGUCGAAAAAGUGAUAUCAUCUUUGAUCGAAUAGUAAUCAGUAUAUUUGUUUUGAGACUUUGUGAAAUUUAGAGUUUCCAUAAUAUUUUUCCAAUUAGAUGAAUGAGAUGUAAGUGGAUAACAUCAGACAGUUAUUUGAGGACACAUGAGAGUUUGUCAAAUACAAAGGCUGCAUGGAGACGAAGACGUUACAUGUUUUGCUUAGUCGAUCGUUAUAGACGGUUAACUUAAGACUAGUAUAUAAGUAAGCAUACACUUAUCUUUUUAGAGGUCCACAAUUGUACAAAAAUUCUGUAAAACUUAAACUAUUCGUGUGUUUGUGAGAAUAGAGUCAAGAAUGUAUGUAUAUGCGUUCCAUUUUUUACAAAUCAAAGUUUUUAUCUUCAGUUAUUUACUGAAUUGAAAUUUAUUCCAAUUAAUUUUUGUUUCCUANUCAGUGAUACUGGAUUGAAUGAUGCCAAUAAAAUGCUUGUCGGUAUGUUGCAUAAUUUGACCAAGUAGCUUUUGUUACAGCCAUGCUAACUGUGCUAUUCUAAGAUUUUUGGCACAUGGCAUUUAAUUAGAAAACGUGAUAAGUUUUAUGUGUAAAUGGUUUAUGGCAAAAGUAGAAUGUGCUGUCAGUUACAAGUGUCGACGAAUUGGUUUUGUCGAAAAAGUGAUAUCAUCUUUGAUCGAAUAGUAAUCAGUAUAUUUGUUUUGAGACUUUGUGAAAUUUAGAGUUUCCAUAAUAUUUUUCCAAUUAGAUGAAUGAGAUGUAAGUGGAUAACAUCAGACAGUUAUUUGAGAACACAUGAGAGUUUGUCAAAUACAAAGGCUGCAUGGAGACGAAGACGUUACAUGUUUUGCUUAGUCGAUCGUUAUAGACGGUUAACUUAAGACUAGUAUAUAAGUAAGCAUACACUUAUCUUUUUAGAGGUCCACAAUUGUACAAAAAUUCUGUAAAACUUAAACUAUUCGUGUGUUUGUGAGAAAAGAGUCAAGAAUGUAUGUAUAUGCGUUCCAUUUUUUACAAAUCAAAGUUUUUAUCUUCAGUUAUUUACUGAAUUGAAAUUUAUUCCAAUUAAUUUUUGUUUCCUAUUAUAUUUAUUUUCAAUCAUUGUAAUUAUUUUUGUUUCUUUUAUAUUUUGAUUUCAAUGUAAAACAUGCUUCAAACAUUAAUUUUCACGCAAUAUGUUUUGGGAUCUCUUCGAGUUUAAUCCCGUGAAUGAAAUCAAACUUGUUUUGUUUAUCAAAUUUCAAAGUGAACAAGUACUACCAUUAUUAAAUAACUUCAUCCACAUCCUUUCUUUUAUUUUUACCUCGAGAGUGCAUCAAUUUCUGAUUGAAUAUUGCACUUAAUUGCAAACGAUGUCAAGUCUUCCAAUGUCAAGUAGAUUUUUUUCAUCCUACAUGCUCAAUUGUUCUCAAACCUAAUAAUUUCAUUGUCUACUGAACUUUGGUUGGGGAUGCUUAGAUCUUCAUUUGAAUCAUUUCCUGGUGCUUUUAAGUCUUUUUUUGUCCAAGAGUGAACUAGUGACCCAAGAAUAAAGGAUUAAAAGCAACUUUAAUAUGUGGAAUGAUGCAUUAUUUACUAACGUUUUUCCUUUCAUUUUGUAUGACCUUGGCAGUGUGAAAAAGCUUGGUAAGUUUUUACAAAUAAGCAUUACUUCGAAAAUCAGCUAUCAUAACGGUUGGAAAAGGACACAACCACGUCUGAUCAACCAUUGUUAGGUAGGAUGUAUUGUAUGUAUGAUGCUUUCUAUCACGAGCAUAAAACCAUUGCGAUGAACUAGAUAGUGCACUGUAUAUCACAACGGUUAAAGUAUACAACUGUUGUGAUAUAAAAUUAAAUGUAAAGAAGGAAAAAACAUGCCUUUUUAUUUUGGGGUUCUUCUUUCUUAGCUUCACCAGCAUUUGAAGGGCCUUCGACAUUUAUGUCACCCCUAACUUCAGUUUCAUCUACAACGAAAACGUGAAAACUAAGUAUUAAAAAUUAAUAAAAAAUAUAAACAUUAUAUCUUGGUUCUUUAAGAUUAAAAAUGCGAAUCUGACGACCUUGGAAUUUUGUUCAAACCCUGAAGUAUUCGCACCCGUAAGUUCACCUAUUAAAAAAAGAUUAGAAUGAAAAUAGAAAUCAAGACUAUUACGAGUGAACGCCAUGCAAUAUUUGUAUUCUUGAGUAGUGAGUUUCCUUUACACGCAUUGCAUCAAAAAUUAUUGCCAAAAAUAAUAAAUUGAGUUGUGAAGUCUAUUAAAAUAAAAUUAAAUGCGUUUGAACGAUGUCAAUAAAAAUUUAUAAAAAGUUUAAAGUUAUAACUAAUUUAAAUGAUUGAGUUAAAGUUUAUUUAUUUUUAAUAUCUUUUUGUUGAAGUAUAAAUUUUUUUAAUUAUUUGAAAAAUAUUAGGACCAACUUACAAAUUUUGAAAUAAUAAAAUACUUCAUAUAUUUUGUAGAGUACGAGAGAUAUUUCAAAUUUAUUGAUUUUAUGUAUUGUUUAAAAAGUAUUAAGUUUAAUUUGGAUAAAAUAUUUAAUAGAUUUAAAUUAUUUUAAUAUAUUUUUAAAUUUUUUAUUAAGGGUGUUUGUGGUGUCAUUUGAACGGUUUUGACGUUAAAAAUUAUUUGAACUGCAAAAAAAAAAAACCAUGUUGUUCAGUUUAAUUUGAUUGGCUUUGAGAAAUAAAAUCUAACCAAACCAAAUUAAACCAAUGCGGUUUUGAUUGGUUCUAGUUUUUUACAAGACUUUUAUUGAGUUAUACAUACACCUAUAGAGAAUAACAUAACUUUGUGUUUAGUCAUUCAUACAUUACCAAAUAACAAAAAAAAAUCAUCAUAUUUUGACAAAAACUUCUCAUUCAAUAUAUAAAAAUCAGAUUAAAUAAAAGUGAAAUAAAAAAUAAAAAAUAAUAGCAAAAACAAUAUAAAAAAUAUUUAAAUAAAAAGAAAGAGGAGAUGAGAGAUUACAGAAGAUGAAAAAUAAAGAACAUAAGAGAUGCGAGAUUAAAGAAGAAAGGUGCGUUAAAAACGUAAUUUGAAGAGAUAAUAAUAACAUAAAAAUGAGAUGAUGAAAAAGAAACAACAUAAGAGAAAAGAGAUAGAGUAGAAGAAGUGAAACAUACAUAACAAAACAAAGAAGAUGAGAAGAAUAUGCAAUACUAUCAUGAGAGAUUUGAGAAGAUUAAAACUAAAAUCCUAAGAGUGUGUUUGGGUGAAAUAUUUUAAUGAGAGAAAAUUUAAAGGAAUUUAAAGUGACACCAAAAAAUAAAGAAUUUGAAGGAAUUUAAAAUGAUUAGACCAAAAUUUAUUGUUUGGAUAAAAAAUAUAGAGAAUUGAUAAAAUGUUGUAAAUUUAUGAAAUAUUUUAUUCAAGUUAAAUUUAACGAAUUUAAAGUGACACCAAAAAAUAAAGAAUUUGAAAUUACUUAUUUUUUCUAUACAAUGGAAAUGUUAAAUUGUUUAUUAUUAAUUUUUUAAAUUUUGCAAGAUAUUCCUCAUAUUUUAUGAAAAAUUUAAAUUCAUCUGUAAAAUUGUCUAAAUAUUGCAAAUAAAUCCAUAAUAAUUUAAAAAUUUACAAAUUAGUCUAUUUAAAUUUUUAAAAAUUGUAAAUUGAUCUCUAUCUUUCAUAUUUUAAAUUUGUCCCAAAAAUGUUAACAUUUAUGAAAAUGAUCCCAAAAAUUUAACAAUAAAUCAUUUUAAUACUCCAUCCAAAGAAAAUAAUUUAAAAAUGAAUGAAUUUCAAUUGAAUCAUUUAAAUUGCUUAGAAUUUUGAAUUCUUUAAAAAUUCUCAAUUAACUCAUCCAAACAUACUCUAAGAUUUAAUAAGAGAAUAUUUGUUAGAUUAAGGCAAUAAUAUAUUUGAAUUUUGGAUUGAAUGUGAGAUAAGUAGGGUUUGCGUUGUAAAAUAAUACAGUUUGGUUUGGUUUAUUUUGACUUGCAAAAUACAAACCGCAAACCAAACCGAAUCGUGUUCAUUUGUUAAAAAAUAACCCAAACACAUUUGAAUCAAAUGUGAUUUUUUACAUUUUCGAUUUGAUGAUUUACGAUUUUCUAUUUUAUGUAAACAAUACAUUUUUUUCAUAUCAUUUUAAAUUGUUUGAAAAUAUUUAUUAUCUUGUUAAAAUGUCAUACGGGUAACAUCACAUGGAUUACAUGGGUAACAAGAUUAUGACAUCAUUAAUGACAAAAUAAUAAAAUCAUAGUACCUCAUAUUCUAUUUAUAAGAAAAAUAUUAAUUUUUAAUUCAUUCAAUAACUAAUAUAUCUAAUCUAUAUUCUAUUUUGAGAUAUUAUUCAUUCAAUAAAUUUAAAAAGACAAUUGUUUUCUUCUUAUAAAUAGAAUAAAACAAUAAAAAAUAAAAACUUAAAAUAGAAAAAGAAGAGGAUCCAGAAAUUAGAUAAAAAUAGUAUAGACGUUUUUUUAAAGGAUAUAUAUAUAUAUAUAUAUAUAUAUAUANCUAAAUACAAACAAAAUCUGCUUAUAAUUGAAAUUGAAAACAGGUACACGAGAAGUAUCGAGUGUUUAUUGUAUAUUUUCUUAUAAAUAGAGCAUAGAAGUAUCGAGUGUUUAUUGUAUAUUUUCUUGAGUGUGGCUCAAAAUAUAGAAUCAUAUGGGUUUAAAAUAUCCUUGAACCAUACAUUUACACAAGGAGUGACUUACACACGUCAUGAUCUUAGGUUUUUGACAUCAAUCUUUGGGACAAUCAGAAUCUUUAAAACAUCUACGCAUCCGUGCUAUAAAUAGAAAAGAAAAGAAAAAAGAAAAUUGGAUGGAAUAUUGUAUAUAAGGUGAAGAGAAAAUUUUAGAAGAUAAAAAUAACUUACCUUCAACAUAUCAGAUAAUUAUAAAAUAAACAAACUUGAUAAUUUGAGCCAUAAUUUUUCUCUUUCAUGUAACAAAAGGUUUUAUCACUUCAUUAUUUAUAAAGCUUUUUCUCUUCUUACAAAAAUCGAAUAUGUAUUAGCGCUUAUCUUAUCGAGUGGUAAAAACCACUUCCAUAAAGAUUAAUCAUAACUAAAUGUCUUUUAAAUAUAUCAAUGAGUUGUAUUUAUCUCUUUAAUAUAUUUAUUAAAGACCUCAAAUUAAAAACUUGUCACUCAUAACAAUUCAAUAAUUUUUUAUUAAAUAUCUAUUAGUGUUAUAACUUUUCGUAACAGGAAGGGAUAAAAAAACCAAAGACCAAUCAUAUUUUUGGACCACACAUAUCAGCAUGAACUUAGUGUGUUUUAUUGAUGAAUCAAACUUAACUACUUAAUGUGAAACAUUAAGUGAUAAUGAGUGAAUCCAUCUUUGAAAUUGUCCAACAUGUAUAUUAAAUGCAAUAAAAUUUAAAAGCUACUUAAUGCACUGUCAGUGUAAAAAUUUUUACACUAUCAAUUCAUCACCAUCAUCCGUUUGUAUUACUUUAUAGAUUUUUAAAAUAAAAGUCAAAUUUGUUUUAAUAUCCAGGUCUAUUAUUAACUGACUGUGUAAAAUCCUUUAAAUUAUCACUGUAUUUCAAUUAUAUAUAUAUAUAUAUAUAUAUAUAUAUAUAUAUAUAUNUCAGUGAUACUGGAUUGAAUGAUGCAAUAAAAUGCUUGUCGGGAUUGUUACAUAAUUUGACCAAGUAGCUUUGUUACACCAUCACUGCAUCUAGAUUUUGCACAUGCAUUAAUUAGAAAACUGAUAAGUUUCAUGUGUAAAUGGGUUUAUGGCUAAAAGUAGAAGUGCUGUCAUUAACCAGAGUCGUCGACGAAUUGGUUUUGUGAAACAAGUGAUAUCAUGUGAAUAGUAAUCGAGUAUAUUGUUUUGAGACUUGUGUGAAAUUUAGAGUUUCAUAACAUUUUUUCUCAAUGGUGAGAUGAAUGAGAUGUAAGUGGAUAAAUCAAACAGUUAUUUAAGGACAAUGGAUUGUUCAAAUACAAAGGCUGCAUGGAGACGAAGACGUACAGUGUUUGCUUAGUCGAUCGUUAUAGACGGUUAACUUAAGACUAUAUAUAAGUAAGGAUACACUUAUCUUUUUAGAGGUCCACAAUUGUACAAAAAUUCUGUAAAACUUAAAGACUAUCGUGUGUUGUGAGAAAAAGAGUCAAGAAUGUAUGUAUGCGUUUCCAUUUUUUACAAAUCAAAGUUUAUCUUAGAUACUGAAUUGAUAUUCAAUUAAUUUUCGUUUUCCUUAUUAUAUUUAUUUUCAAUCAUGUAAUAUUUUUGUUUCUUUUAUAUUUGAUUUCAAUGUAAACAUGCUUCAAACAUUAAUUUUCACCAAUAUGUCUUGGGAUCUCUUCGAGUUUAAUCCCGUGAAUGAAGUCAAAUGUUUUGUUUAUCAAAUUUCAAAGUAAACAAGUACUCCAUUAUUAAUAACUAUCACAUCCUUUUUUUAUUUUUACCUCGAGAGCUGCAUCAAUUUCUGAUUGAACUAUUGCACUUAAUGCAAACGAUGUCAAGUCUUCCAAUGUCAAGUAGAUUUUUCAUCCUACAUGCUUCAAUGUUCAACCUAAUAAUUUCAAUUGUGCUACUGAACUUUGUUGGGAUGCUUAGAUCUUCUUGAAUAUUCCUGGUGCUUUUUAAGUCUUUUUUUGUCCAAGAUGAAACUAGUGACCCAAGAAUAAAGAUUAAAGAAACUUUAAUAUGUGGAAUGAGCAUAUUUACUAGCGUUUCCUUUCAUUUUGUAUGACCUUGGCAGUGUGAAAAAGCUUGGUAAGUUUUUACCAGAAAAUUAAUAAGUUCAAGCAUACUCGAAAAUCAGCUAUCAUAACGGUUGGAAAAGGACACAACCACGUCUGACAACCGAUGUUAGUAGGAUGUAUGUAUGUAUGAUCUUUCUAUCACGAGCAUAAAACAUUGCGAUAACUAGAUAGGCACUGUAUAUCAACAACGUUAAAGUAUACAAUGUUGUGAUAUAAAAUUAAUGUAAAGAAGGAAAAAAACAUGCCUUUUUAUUUUUGGGGUUCUAUUUUCUUAGCUUCACCAGCAUUUGAAGGGCUUCGAAUUUAUGUCACCCCUAGACUUCAGUUUCAUCUACAACGAAAUGUGUAAGAACGAAGUAUAUGAAAAUAAUUUGAAUAAAUAAUAUAUACAUGUUUUUCUUUAUGGUUCUCUGGUAAGAUGAAAAAGGCGAUCGACGACCUCUUGUAGAAGUUUUGUUCCAAAGAAGUGGCCUGAAAGUAGUCGUCGACCGUUGUUGAAUUUCCACUAUUAAAGAGAUGAUGGAUGGUGGAAAGUAGGAAAUUCAAGGACUUAUUGACGAGUGAACAGCCAUGCAAUAUUUGUAUUCUGAGUAGUGAGUUUCCUUUACACAUUGAGCAACAACAAUUAUUGAAUGCAAAAAUAAUAAAUUGCAGUAUGUGAGUCUAUUAAAUAAAAUUAAUGCGUUUGAACAUGUCAAAAAAAUGUAUAACAAAGUUAAAAGUUUAGACAAUUAAAUUAUGAGUAACUGUUAUUUAUUUAACUAUCUUGUUGAUAAAAUUUUUUUAAUUAUUUGAAAAAUAUUAGAGACCCAACUCAAAUUAUUACAAUAAUAAAAGUAUAUAUUGUAGGUACGAGAAUAUUCAAUUAUGUGUUUAUGAUGUUAAGUAUUAAUUAAUUGAAAAUAUAUAGUAUGUUAAAUUAUUUUAUAUAUUUUUAUAAAGUUUUUAUAAGGUGUUGUGGUGCAUUUGAACGGUUUGACGUUAAAAUAUUGAAUGCAAAAAAAAACCAUGUUGUUCAGUUAAUUUGAUUGGCUUUGAAAAUAAAAAUCAACCAACAAAUGUAAACCAAUGCCGUUGUUGGUCUAGUUUUACAAGGCUUAUUAGUUAUACAUAACCUAUUAGAGAUAACAUAAUUGGUUUUAUCAUUCAUACAUUACCAAGGUAACAAAAAAAAAAUAUCAAUUUGACAAAAACUUCUCACAAAUAUAAAAUGCAGAUAUAAAAGUAAAUAAAAAAUAAAAACAUAAUAGAAAACAAAUAAAAAAAUAUCAAAUAAAAAGAAAGAGAGAUGAGAAGAUACAGAAGAAAAAAAUAAAGAACAUAAAGAUGCGAGAUUAAAGAAGGGAAAGGUGCGUUAAAAACUAAUUUGAAGAGAUAAUAAUAAACGAUAAAAAUGAGAUGAUGAAAAGAAACAACUAAGAGAAAAGAGAUAGAGUAGAAGAAGGUGAAACAUACAUUAACAAAAAAAAGAAGAUGAGAAGAAUAUGCAAUACUAUCAUGAGAGAUUUUGAGAGAUUAAAACUAAAAUCCUAAGAGUGUGUUUGGGUGAAAUAUUUUAAUGAGAGAAAAUUUUAAAGAAUUUAAAGUGACACCAAAAAAUAAAGAAGUUGAAGGAAUUUAAAAAUGCAUGAGGACCAAAAUUUAUUGUUUGGAUAAAAAAUAUAGAGAAUUGAUAAAAUGUUGUUAAAUUUUAUGAAAUAUAUUUAUUCAAAAGUUAAAAUUUAACGAAUUUUAAAGUGACACCAAAAAAUAAAGAAUUUGAAAUUACUUAUUUUUUCGUAUACAUGGAAAUGUUAAAUUGUUUAUUAUUAAUUUUUUUAAAAAUUUUGGCAAGUAUUCCUCAUAUUUUAUGAAAAAAUUUAAAUUUCAUCUUGUUAAAUUGUCUAAAUAUUUGCAAAUAAAUCCAUAAUAAUUUAAAAUUUACAAAUUAGUCUAUUUAAAUUUUAAAAAUUGUAAAUUGAUCUCUAUCUUUCAUAUUUUAAAUUUUGUCCCAAAAAUGUUAACAUUUAUGAAAAUUGAUCCCAAAAUUUAACAAAUAAAUCCAUUUUAAUACGUCCAUCCAAAGAAAAUAAUUUAAAAAUGGACCAAUGGAAAUUUCAAUGAAUCAUUAAAUUGCUUAGAAUGUGAAUUCUUUAAAAAUUUCUAAUAACUCAUCCAAAACAUACUCUAAGAUUUAAUAAAGAAAUAUUUGUUAGAUUAAGGCCAAUAAUAUAGUUGGGAAAUUUGGAUGAAUAGUGAGAUAAGGGUAGGGUUUGCGUUGUAAAAUAAGUUACAGUUUGGUUGGUUUAUUUGACUUGCAAAAUACAAAACCGCUCCAAACCAAACCGAAUCGAUGUCAUUUGUUAAAAAAUAACCCAAACAACAUUUUGAAAUCAAAUGUGAUUUUUUACAUUUUCGAUUUGAUGAUUUACGAUUUUCUAUUUUAUGUAAAACAAUACAUUUUUUUCAUAUCAUUUUUAAAUGGUUUGAAAAUAUUUAUCGAUCUUAGUAAAAAUGUCAUACGGGUAACAUCAGCAUGGAUUACAUGAGUAACAAGAUAUGACAUCAUUAAUGACAAAAAUUAAAUAAAAUCAUAGUAACCUUCAUAUUCUAUUUAUAAGAAAAUAUUUAAUUUUUAAUUCAUUGAAUAACAUAAUAUAAUCUAAAUCUAUAUUCUAUUUUGAAUAUUAUGGGCAUUCAAUAAAUUUAAAAGACAAUUUGUUUUCUUCUUAUAAAUAGAAUAAAAACAAUAAAAAAUAAAACUUAAAAUAGGAAAAAGAAGAGGAUCCAGAAAUUAGAUAAAAAAUAGUAUAGACGUUUUUAAAGGAGAUUAUAUAUAUAUAUAUAUAUAUAUAUAUAUUAUAUAUAUAUAUUAUAUAUAUAUAUAUAUAUAUAUAUAUAUAUAUAUAUAUAUAUAUAUAUAUAAUGGAAAAAUCUAAAUACAAACAAAAAUCUGCAUAUAAGUGAAAUUUGCAAAACAGCGUUACACGAGAAGUAUCGAUGUUUAUUGUAUAUUUUCUUAUAAUAAGAGCAUUUAAAGUAUCGAGUGUUUAUUGUAUAUUUUCUUGAGUUGUGGCUCAAAAUAUAGAAUCAUAUGGGUUUAAAAUAUCCUGUGAACCAUACAUUUACACAAGGAGUCACUUACACACGGUCAUUGAUCUUAGGUUUUGACAUCAAUCUUUGGGACCAAUCAGAAGCUUUAAAACAUCUACGCAUCCUGCUAUAAAUAGGAAAGAAAAGAAAAAAGAAAAUUGGAUGGAAUAUUGUAUAUAAGUUGAAGAGAAAAAUUUUAUAGAAGAGAAAAAUAACUUACCUUCAACAUAUCAGAUAAUUAUAAAAUAAACAAACUUGAUAAUUUGAGCAUAAUUUUCUCUUUCAUGUAAAAACAAAGCGGUUUAUCACUUCAUUAUUUAUAAAGCUUUUUCUCUUCUUACAAAAAUCGAAAUAUGUAUUAGCGGCUUAUCUUAAUCGGAGUGGUAAAAACCAUCCAUAAAAGAUUAAUCGAUAACUAAAUGUUCUUUAAAAUAUAUCAAUGAGUUGUAUUUAUCUCUUUAAUAUAUUUAUUAAAACCUCAAAUUAAAAACUUGUCACUCAUAAAACAAUUUCAAUAAUUUUUUAAAUAAAUAUUCUAAUUAGUGUGAUAACUUUCGUAACAGGAAGGAUAAAAAAACAAAAGACCAAUCAGGAUUUUUGGGGACACAACAUAUCAGCAUGAACUUAGUGGUUUAUUGAUGAAUCAAACUUAACUACUUAAUGUGAAACAUUCAAGGGAUAAUGAGUGGAAUCCAUCUUGAAAUUGUCCAACAUGUAUACUUAAAUGCGAGAUAAAAUUUAAAAGCUACUUAAUGCACUUGUCAGUGUAAAAAUUUUUACACUAUAAUUCAUCACCUCAUCCGUUUGCUAUUACUUUAUAGAUUUUUAAAAUAAAAGUCAAAUUUGUUUAAUAAUCCAGGUCUAUUAUUUAACUGACUGUUGUUAAAAUCCUUAAAUAUCACUGUAUUUCAAUUAUAAUAUAUAUAUAUAUAUAAUAUAUAUAUAUAUAUAUAUAUAUAUAUAUAUAUAUAUAUAUAUAAUAUAUAUAUAUAUAUAUAUAUUAGCUAUUAAAAAAACAAGGAUCUAACUGUGCGCUCAAUUAAUGCUUAUACAAGUCAAAGAAAAUACUAUUAAUCACAAAAGGUUAUCAAAUUGAUGAAAAUUUAGAGAUAAAAAAAAGGCAUGAAUUUUGAUUACUCAGUGUGUUAAAGAGACAAACAUAACAUAUUUAUUGACUUUAGAAACAUUUAAUAAUGAAUAUAUCUUUUGAAAGGGUUUUUAGAAACAAAUACUAAAAACUAUUAAGUUCAUAUAAAAAAGGGACGAGGUUUAUAAAUUACAAAGUAAUAAAACAAUCUUUUAAAUGCAAAGGUGUGAAAAUAUGACUGUAAUUGUGAGGUUUUUCUAUUUUGUAAUCAUCAUUCUUUUUCUAUUUCUUCUUAUUACGAAUGUUGAAGGUUAGUCAAUCUUAUAUAUUUUUUGAUUCUUUUAUACAAUUUAAUUAUAUUAUUUAAUUAUCUUUUUUCUUUCUUAUAGGAAAGAAAAUAAAAUGUCGAACCGAUUCAGAUUGUCCCAAACAAACGUGCCGAUUUCCGACAUACAAUAAAUGUGUUAUUCGCAACCAUUGUAAAUGUGUUCUUUCUAGAAUUAUAUGAUUUCAAUAACAUAAGUAGUUAUGAAUUUGUAAUCUAAGUGAUGGUUAUAAAAGGAAAUAAGUCAACAACGAAUAUUAUUUAGAUGUUUUCUUCUUUCUUUAUUUCAGAGAUAUUUCCAUUGCCUUUUGAAUUCAUGCUUAUCAAUUUUCCUUGUCUACCUUAUCUCCCAUUAUGCUAACGAAGGCAUCUGAAAUACUCUAAAAUCCAAAUAAAAAAAAUAUUAC